This 75-nucleotide transfer RNA is filed under the name Acidobacteriota bacterium. RNAcentral's name for it is "Acidobacteria bacterium tRNA-Asp". Lineage: Bacteria; Pseudomonadati; Acidobacteriota. The record is from RNAcentral.
GCGAGCAUGGUUCCGUUGGUUAGAAUGCCUGCCUGUCAGGCGGGGAGGCCGCGGGGUUCCAGUCCGUCGCUUGCC